This 334-nucleotide ribosomal RNA is filed under the name uncultured Deferribacteres bacterium. RNAcentral describes it as "bacterial SSU rRNA". It matches the Rfam family "Bacterial small subunit ribosomal RNA", at positions 28 to 351 of the family's 1533-position model. Lineage: Bacteria; Pseudomonadati; Deferribacterota; Deferribacteres. The record is from RNAcentral.
GACGAACGCUGGCGGCGUGCUUAACACAUGCAAGUCAAGGGGAAAGUUUCUUUCGGGGAACGAGUAUACUGGCGGACGGGUGAGUAACGCGUAGGUGACCUGCCCUUGGAAUCGGGAUAACACUGCUAACGCGGUGCUAAUACCGGAUGAUGCCCUGAUGCUGCAUGGUAUUAGGGUGAAAGCGGGCUUUCGGGCUCGUGUUUGAGGAUGGACCUGCGUCCCAUUAGCUUGUUGGCGGGGUAACGGCCCACCAAGGCGACGAUGGGUAGCCGACCUGAGAGGGUGAACGGCCACACUGGGACUGAGAUACGGCCCAGACUCCUACGGGAGGCUG